Molecule: ribosomal RNA, 2923 nt
Filed under: Klebsiella pneumoniae
Lineage: Bacteria; Pseudomonadati; Pseudomonadota; Gammaproteobacteria; Enterobacterales; Enterobacteriaceae
Description: bacterial LSU rRNA
Rfam family: Bacterial large subunit ribosomal RNA
Source: RNAcentral
GGGUUGUGAGGUUAAGCGACUAAGCGUACACGGUGGAUGCCCUGGCAGUCAGAGGCGAUGAAGGACGUGCUAAUCUGCGAAAAGCGUCGGUAAGGUGAUAUGAACCGUUAUAACCGGCGAUGUCCGAAUGGGGAAACCCAGUGUGAUUCGUCACACUAUCGUUAACUGAAUACAUAGGUUAACGAGGCGAACCGGGGGAACUGAAACAUCUAAGUACCCCGAGGAAAAGAAAUCAACCGAGAUUCCCCCAGUAGCGGCGAGCGAACGGGGAGCAGCCCAGAGUCUGAAUCAGCUUGUGUGUUAGUGGAACGGUCUGGAAAGUCCGACGGUACAGGGUGAUAGUCCCGUACACCAAAAUGCACAGGCUGUGAACUCGAAGAGUAGGGCGGGACACGUGGUAUCCUGUCUGAAUAUGGGGGGACCAUCCUCCAAGGCUAAAUACUCCUGACUGACCGAUAGUGAACCAGUACCGUGAGGGAAAGGCGAAAAGAACCCCGGCGAGGGGAGUGAAAAAGAACCUGAAACCGUGUACGUACAAGCAGUGGGAGCACCUUCGGGUGUGACUGCGUACCUUUUGUAUAAUGGGUCAGCGACUUAUAUUCUGUAGCAAGGUUAACCGUAUAGGGGAGCCGCAGGGAAACCGAGUCUUAACUGGGCGUUAAGUUGCAGGGUAUAGACCCGAAACCCGGUGAUCUAGCCAUGGGCAGGUUGAAGGUUGGGUAACACUAACUGGAGGACCGAACCGACUAAUGUUGAAAAAUUAGCGGAUGACUUGUGGCUGGGGGUGAAAGGCCAAUCAAACCGGGAGAUAGCUGGUUCUCCCCGAAAGCUAUUUAGGUAGCGCCUCGUGAACUCAUCUUCGGGGGUAGAGCACUGUUUCGGCUAGGGGGUCAUCCCGACUUACCAACCCGAUGCAAACUACGAAUACCGAAGAAUGUUAUCACGGGAGACACACGGCGGGUGCUAACGUCCGUCGUGAAGAGGGAAACAACCCAGACCGCCAGCUAAGGUCCCAAAGUCAUGGUUAAGUGGGAAACGAUGUGGGAAGGCACAGACAGCCAGGAUGUUGGCUUAGAAGCAGCCAUCAUUUAAAGAAAGCGUAAUAGCUCACUGGUCGAGUCGGCCUGCGCGGAAGAUGUAACGGGGCUAAACCAUGCACCGAAGCUGCGGCAGCGACACUAUGUGUUGUUGGGUAGGGGAGCGUUCUGUAAGCCUGCGAAGGUGACCUGUGAGGGUUGCUGGAGGUAUCAGAAGUGCGAAUGCUGACAUAAGUAACGAUAAAGCGGGUGAAAAGCCCGCUCGCCGGAAGACCAAGGGUUCCUGUCCAACGUUAAUCGGGGCAGGGUGAGUCGACCCCUAAGGCGAGGCCGAAAGGCGUAGUCGAUGGGAAACAGGUUAAUAUUCCUGUACUUGGUGUUACUGCGAAGGGGGGACGGAGAAGGCUAUGUUAGCCGGGCGACGGUUGUCCCGGUUUAAGCAUGUAGGCUGGUUGUCCAGGCAAAUCCGGAUAAUCAAGGCUGAGGUGUGAUGACGAGGCACUACGGUGCUGAAGUAACAAAUGCCCUGCUUCCAGGAAAAGCCUCUAAGCAUCAGGUAACAUUAAAUCGUACCCCAAACCGACACAGGUGGUCAGGUAGAGAAUACCAAGGCGCUUGAGAGAACUCGGGUGAAGGAACUAGGCAAAAUGGUGCCGUAACUUCGGGAGAAGGCACGCUGGUGUGUAGGUGAAGCCCCUGCGGGUGGAGCUGAGACCAGUCGAAGAUACCAGCUGGCUGCAACUGUUUAUUAAAAACACAGCACUGUGCAAACACGAAAGUGGACGUAUACGGUGUGACGCCUGCCCGGUGCCGGAAGGUUAAUUGAUGGGGUUAUCCGUAAGGAGAAGCUCUUGAUCGAAGCCCCGGUAAACGGCGGCCGUAACUAUAACGGUCCUAAGGUAGCGAAAUUCCUUGUCGGGUAAGUUCCGACCUGCACGAAUGGCGUAAUGAUGGCCAGGCUGUCUCCACCCGAGACUCAGUGAAAUUGAACUCGCUGUGAAGAUGCAGUGUACCCGCGGCAAGACGGAAAGACCCCGUGAACCUUUACUAUAGCUUGACACUGAACAUUGAGCCUUGAUGUGUAGGAUAGGUGGGAGGCUUUGAAGCGUGGACGCCAGUCUGCGUGGAGCCAACCUUGAAAUACCACCCUUUAAUGUUUGAUGUUCUAACGUUGGCCCCUGACCGGGGUUGCGGACAGUGUCUGGUGGGUAGUUUGACUGGGGCGGUCUCCUCCCAAAGCGUAACGGAGGAGCACGAAGGUUAGCUAAUCCUGGUCGGACAUCAGGAGGUUAGUGCAAUGGCAUAAGCUAGCUUGACUGCGAGCGUGACGGCGCGAGCAGGUGCGAAAGCAGGUCAUAGUGAUCCGGUGGUUCUGAAUGGAAGGGCCAUCGCUCAACGGAUAAAAGGUACUCCGGGGAUAACAGGCUGAUACCGCCCAAGAGUUCAUAUCGACGGCGGUGUUUGGCACCUCGAUGUCGGCUCAUCACAUCCUGGGGCUGAAGUAGGUCCCAAGGGUAUGGCUGUUCGCCAUUUAAAGUGGUACGCGAGCUGGGUUUAGAACGUCGUGAGACAGUUCGGUCCCUAUCUGCCGUGGGCGCUGGAGAAUUGAGGGGGGCUGCUCCUAGUACGAGAGGACCGGAGUGGACGCAUCACUGGUGUUCGGGUUGUCAUGCCAAUGGCACUGCCCGGUAGCUAAAUGCGGAAGAGAUAAGUGCUGAAAGCAUCUAAGCACGAAACUUGCCCCGAGAUGAGUUCUCCCUGAGACUUUAAGUCUCCUGAAGGAACGUUAAAGACGAUGACGUUGAUAGGCCGGGUGUGUAAGCGCAGCGAUGCGUUGAGCUAACCGGUACUAAUGAACCGUGAGGCUUAACCUUACAACGCCGAAG